UAUCAAAGGAGAAAUCCGCUUUGAGAUGGGCCCGCGGCGCAUUAGCUAGUUGGAGAGGUAACGGCUCACCAAGGCGACGAUGCGUAGCCGACCUGAGAGGGUGAUCGGCCACAUUGGAACUGAGACACGGUCCAGACUCCUACGGGAGGCAGCAGUGGGGAAUAUUGCACAAUGGGGGAAACCCUGAUGCAGCAACGCCGCGUGAACGAAGAAGGCCUUCGGGUCGUAAAGUUCUUUGAUUGGGGACGAUAAUGACGGUACCCAAAAAACAAGCCACGGCUAACUACGUG
Molecule: ribosomal RNA, 290 nt
Filed under: bacterium enrichment culture clone 24
Lineage: Bacteria
Description: partial 16S ribosomal RNA
Rfam family: Bacterial small subunit ribosomal RNA
Source: RNAcentral